Molecule: long non-coding RNA, 226 nt
Filed under: Elaeis guineensis (African oil palm)
Lineage: Eukaryota; Viridiplantae; Streptophyta; Magnoliopsida; Arecales; Arecaceae
Description: long non-coding RNA (EGUI_LNC041956)
Source: RNAcentral
UAUCUGGAUUACAAUGAAAUAGGGAUCAAAUCUCUGAAAUCUAGAUUUAAACCUUUGCUUAGGCCUAGAUCUACAGGCCCUCUACUUUGCAUGCACGCCAAACUCCAUAGAAACACGAGAUGAAGCUUCAAAUUGAAGUGCUUUCGCAAGGCCACAAGGGAGGGAAGAGAAGCUCAGGUGUGAUGCCUCACACCAGUAAGGGGAUGCCCAUAAUGGGUCCUACGGC